UGUGAUUCUCUCUCUUGAGAUGCCUACAGUCAUCCCAUAGUGUGCUCUUGCUCUCUUCUUGUUCAUACUAACUCAUUCUGAAAUUCUUUUCUGUGUAGGAUGCCAGGGUCCAGGCUAUACCUAAGUGGAGGUCCCAUGGGACCUCUUGGGCUCUGUGGCUAGCAAGGUUCAUCAGGACACUGCACAACUUGAACAAGGUCACUGAAAAGACUUCAAGGGGGUUGAGAGCAGAGUCCAACACUGCAUGAACUCAAAGGCUCUGAGGGGAGGUGCUGGUGGCCAUGCUGAGCCUGAA
This 295-nucleotide long non-coding RNA is filed under the name Mus spicilegus (steppe mouse). RNAcentral's name for it is "lncRNA (ENSMSIG00000028107.1)". The record is from RNAcentral. Lineage: Eukaryota; Metazoa; Chordata; Mammalia; Rodentia; Muridae.